CCAGUGGGGGCAUUGCACCAGUACAGGCGAGUGAAGCGGCAAAAGCUCAAUUUUGAAAUCCCCCCGGGGAGUUGUAAUUUGAAGACUAGGGGAUUUGGCCCAAACCUGCGCAAGUCCAUUGGAACAUGGCGCCCAAGAGGGUGAGAGCCCCGCCGCGCAGCCCGCACCCUUGACAUCCCCCCGUCAAAGAGUCGAGUUGUUUGGGAAUGCAGCUCAAAGUGGGUGGUAAAUUCCAUCUAAAGCUAAAUAUUGGCGAGAGACCGAUAGCGAACAAGUACAGUGAUGGAAAGAUGAAAAGCACUUUGAAAAGAGAGUGAAACAGUACGUGAAAUUGUUGAAAGGGAAGGGCUUGCAAGCAGACACGAGUUCGCUCGGGCCAGCAUCAAUUUCGCGAGGUGGACAACACGCCAGGAAUGUGGCAGGCUCCGGCCUGUGUUAUAGCCUGCGCGCCAUACACCUCCGCGAGAUUGAGGCCUGCUCCAAAAGGAUGCUGGCGUAAUGGUUGCAAGUCGCCCGUCUGAAAACCCGGAACCAAUAAAUUUUG
RNAcentral lists this ribosomal RNA (544 nucleotides) under Helenozyma melibiosica. RNAcentral describes it as "eukaryotic LSU rRNA". It matches the Rfam family "Eukaryotic large subunit ribosomal RNA", at positions 65 to 664 of the family's 3401-position model. The record is from RNAcentral. Lineage: Eukaryota; Fungi; Ascomycota; Pichiomycetes; Serinales; Metschnikowiaceae.